This 213-nucleotide ribosomal RNA is filed under the name Whitmania laevis. Its description in RNAcentral is "partial 28S ribosomal RNA". It matches the Rfam family "Eukaryotic large subunit ribosomal RNA", at positions 683 to 866 of the family's 3401-position model. The record is from RNAcentral. Lineage: Eukaryota; Metazoa; Annelida; Clitellata; Hirudinida; Haemopidae.
UGCGCGAGUCGCAGGGUUGUACGAAACCCGAGGGCGUAACGAAAGUGAACGUGAUCUUCGGAUCAAUCAGGUGGGAUCCCGAGGCCUACGGUCGAGGGCGCACCACCGGCCUGUCUCAGCCGCUACGCCGGCGAGGCGGAGCAAGAGCGUACGCGUUGGGACCCGAAAGAUGGUGAACUAUGCCUGAGCAGGAUGAAGCCAGAAGAAAUUCUG